RNAcentral lists this unclassified non-coding RNA (212 nucleotides) under Hevea brasiliensis (rubber tree). Lineage: Eukaryota; Viridiplantae; Streptophyta; Magnoliopsida; Malpighiales; Euphorbiaceae. The record is from RNAcentral.
GCCUCUCACAGGACGCUCCGCUGCCACGCGGCCGGGCACCCAUCGCGGACGGCGAGGUAACCCAUGAGGUCGCUCGUCAGGAACUCGCUCGGCCACUCCUUCCGCACCUGCGCCUUCAAGUACUUGGACACGAUGUCUAGGUUCUCCGCUGUCAGCGUCGCGCUCUUGAGCGUCGGCGCAAUCUCGUCCGCGAGCCGGUCGAUCCACUGCGG